Molecule: ribosomal RNA, 549 nt
Filed under: Aureobasidium sp.
Lineage: Eukaryota; Fungi; Ascomycota; Dothideomycetes; Dothideales; Saccotheciaceae
Description: eukaryotic LSU rRNA
Rfam family: 5.8S ribosomal RNA (bases 193-346)
Source: RNAcentral
GAAGGAUCAUUAAAGAGUAAGGGUGCUCAGCGCCCGACCUCCAACCCUUUGUUGUUAAAACUACCUUGUUGCUUUGGCGGGACCGCUCGGUCUCGAGCCGCUGGGGAUUCGUCCCAGGCGAGCGCCCGCCAGAGUUAAACCAAACUCUUGUUAUUAAACCGGUCGUCUGAGUUAAAAUUUUGAAUAAAUCAAAACUUUCAACAACGGAUCUCUUGGUUCUCGCAUCGAUGAAGAACGCAGCGAAAUGCGAUAAGUAAUGUGAAUUGCAGAAUUCAGUGAAUCAUCGAAUCUUUGAACGCACAUUGCGCCCCUUGGUAUUCCGAGGGGCAUGCCUGUUCGAGCGUCAUUACACCACUCAAGCUAUGCUUGGUAUUGGGUGCCGUCCUUAGUUGGGCGCGCCUUAAAGACCUCGGCGAGGCCUCACCGGCUUUAGGCGUAGUAGAAUUUAUUCGAACGUCUGUCAAAGGAGAGGACUUCUGCCGACUGAAACCUUUUAUUUUUCUAGGUUGACCUCGGAUCAGGUAGGGAUACCCGCUGAACUUAAGCAUA